Molecule: transfer RNA, 74 nt
Filed under: Candidatus Pacearchaeota archaeon
Lineage: Archaea; Nanobdellati
Description: tRNA-Lys
Rfam family: tRNA
About the family: Transfer RNA (tRNA) molecules are approximately 80 nucleotides in length. Their secondary structure includes four short double-helical elements and three loops (D, anti-codon, and T loops).
Source: RNAcentral
GGCCCCGUAGCUCAGCCUGGUAGAGCACUAGACUUUUAAUCUAGUCGUCGCGAGUUCAAAUCUCGUCGGGGUCA